This 301-nucleotide ribosomal RNA is filed under the name uncultured bacterium. Its description in RNAcentral is "partial 16S ribosomal RNA". It matches the Rfam family "Bacterial small subunit ribosomal RNA", at positions 509 to 809 of the family's 1533-position model. The record is from RNAcentral.
CAGCCGCCGCGGUAAUACGUAGGUGGCAAGCGUUGUCCGGAAUUAUUGGGCGUAAAGGGCUCGCAGGCGGUUUCUUAAGUCUGAUGUGAAAGCCCCCGGCUCAACCGGGGAGGGUCAUUGGAAACUGGGAAACUUGAGUGCAGAAGAGGAGAGUGGAAUUCCACGUGUAGCGGUGAAAUGCGUAGAGAUGUGGAGGAACACCAGUGGCGAAGGCGACUCUCUGGUCUGUAACUGACGCUGAGGAGCGAAAGCAUGGGGAGCGAACAGGAUUAGAUACCCCCGUAGUCCCUGUCUCUUAUAU